UGCAAGUCGAGGGGUAACAGGAGUGCUUGCACUUGCUGACGACCGGCGCACGGGUGCGUAACGCGUAUACAACUUACCUUUAUCUGGGGGAUAGCCCGGAGAAAUUCGGAUUAAUACUCCAUAGUAUUAUAAGACAGCAUUGUUUAAUAAUUAAAGAUUUAUCGGAUAGAGAUAGGUAUGCGUCCCAUUAGCUAGUUGGUGUAGGUAACGGCUCACCAAGGCGACGAUGGGUAGGGGUUCUGAGAGGAAGGUCCCCCACACUGGCACUGAGAUACGGGCCAGACUCCUACGGGAGGCAGCAGUAGGGAAUAUUGGUCAAUGGAGGCAACUCUGAACCAGCCAUGCCGCGUGAACGAUGAAUGCCUUCGGGUUGUAAAGUUCUUUUGUAUGGGAAGAAACACACUCUUGCGAGAGUGCUUGACGGUACCAUAAGAAUAAGCACCGGCUAACUCCGUGCCAGCAGCCGCGGUAAUACGGAGGGUGCAAGCGUUGUCCGGAAUUAUUGGGUUUAAAGGGUGCGCAGGCGGUUUUGUCAGUCAGAGGUUAAAGGCCGGAGCUUAACUCCGAGUUUGCCUUUGAUACUGCAAGACUUGAAAUACAUAUGGGUAAGCGGAAUUCCUCAUGUAGCGGUGAAAUGCACAGAUAUGAGGAGGAAGACCAAAGGCGAAGGCAGCUUACUGGGUGUUAUUUGACGCUGAGGCACGAAAGCGUGGGGAGCGAACAGGAUUAGAUACCCUGGUAGUCCACGCCGUAAACGAUGAGAACUCGACCUGUGUGGUUUAACCAUGCGGGUCCCAGCGAAAGCGAGAAGUUCUCCACCUGGGGAGUACGCCGG
RNAcentral lists this ribosomal RNA (835 nucleotides) under Microscilla sp. MED466. Its description in RNAcentral is "bacterial SSU rRNA". It matches the Rfam family "Bacterial small subunit ribosomal RNA", at positions 56 to 888 of the family's 1533-position model. The record is from RNAcentral. Lineage: Bacteria; Pseudomonadati; Bacteroidota; Cytophagia; Cytophagales; Microscillaceae.